CGAAAUGCGAUAAGUAAUGUGAAUUGCAGAAUUCAGUUAAUCAUCGAAUCUUUGAACGCACCUUGCGCUCCUUGGUAUUCCUUGGAGCAUGCCUGUUUGAGUAUCAUGAAAUCUUCAAAGUAAAUCUUUUGUUAACUCAAUUGGUUUCUACUUUGGUAUUGGAGGUCUUUGCAGCUUCACACCUGCUCCUCUUUGUUCAUUAGCUGGAUCUCAGUGUUAUGCUUGGUUCCACUCGGCGUGAUAAGUUAUCUAUCGCUGAGGACACUGUAAAAGGUGGCCAAGGUAAAUGCAGAUGAACCGCUUCUAAUAGUCCAUUGACUUGGACAAUACUUUUAUGAUCUGAUCUCAAAUCAGGUAGGACUACCCGCUGAACUUAAGC
RNAcentral lists this unclassified non-coding RNA (379 nucleotides) under plant metagenome. RNAcentral describes it as "partial contains 5.8S ribosomal RNA, internal transcribed spacer 2, and large subunit ribosomal RNA". The stretch from base 1 to 106 matches the Rfam family "5.8S ribosomal RNA", at positions 49 to 154 of the family's 154-position model. The record is from RNAcentral.